Long non-coding RNA from Sorghum bicolor (sorghum), 626 nucleotides. RefSeq lists it as uncharacterized. The record is from RefSeq and is a predicted model, not a curated record. Lineage: Eukaryota; Viridiplantae; Streptophyta; Magnoliopsida; Poales; Poaceae. The transcript has 3 exons.
GGCCAUCUCCUCCACUAGCCGUUCCCAGUUCCCAGGAGUCAUGCCUUUCAAGAGAUCCCUUGUUCAAAGAGAAUAGGACAAUUCAUCAUCCGAUGACGAGGACUACAUAAUAUUCUCGGUGGCUCGAAUUGUGUAAACUUUUUCCAAUGCCAAAAGAAGUCACUAUAUCCUUGGCCAAAGAGUUAUCUAUCGUGACAGAGAAGGCGGCCAUGACAAGAUAUUUCAAGAUUAUUUGGCAAUUAAUGCAACACACGACCCUCAAAUAUUCUAUCGAAGGUACAGGAUGUCUUGGGAGCUUUUUCUACGCAUAAUGAAUGCUAUUAAAGCACACGAUGAUUACUUCGUGCAAAAAAGAAUGCGGCCAAUGUACUUGGAUUGAGUUGCUUCCAAAAAGUAAUUGCCGCAUUUCGUGUGCUCACUUAUGGGGUUCCAGUUGAUGCUAUCGCAUUGGCGAAAGUACUACACUUGAGAGUCUUUAUAGGUGAGUGGGCCUAGGUUGAUGGGAUAGCGUGACCACCAAAGGAAUGGGAGUUGUGGACGGGUCCUCUCUAUAAUUUUUAGUUGUAGAGAUAAAUAUUUAUUAAUAAAAUUUUAUCUAAAUAUAUCCAUGUGUGAUCUUGUUUUAA